GUUGCCAUAUAACUCAUAAUAUUUUAUUUUUCUUAUGCACAAAUUAAGGAAUUAUAUACUACUACCAUACAAUUUAUAGGAUAACCUAUUAUACGGGUUGUCUAUUAACUCAUCUCAAGAUUACGUGUAAAUGCAUGAGACUACGACACCCAUGUGCUUCCCUAACGAGGCAAGAACCUCAGUCGUCAGCCCUCUGCUGGCUCCAUUUUGAGAGGAUAUAAAACAGAUACCGUUUUCUUCACAUGGACCCAAAAAGACAACCAAAUAAGCCCAAAGACUUCUACAACCACAGAAGCCUGAGUACCAAUCCGGCCCAGCCCAUAAACACUUCAGGCCACGCCGAGCAAGAGGGCCGACGGCUCAAAUCCACCUAACUCUCCGCUUUGCCGCCACUCUGAAACGGCCAAUCCCCCCGAAACCGCCGGCUCGCCGCCCCCGAACCCAGCAUGCCGCCGCCGCCGCCGCCGCACGCGGCACACAUGCUCGCCGCCGCCGCGUCCCUCAGAGCCGCGGCCUCCGCGAUGGCCGAAGCGGGCGGCGACCCGGCCGUCCUCCACGCGGUCCUUGUCAAGACCGCCUCGUCCUCCCGCGCCGCCUACAACUUCCUCCUCUCCCGCUACCCGCCGUCGCUCUCGCUGCCCCUGCUCUCCCGCCUCCCCUUCCGCCCCACCGCCGCCUCGCUCACCUCCUAUCUCUCCUCCGAAUCCUCUUCCUCCCCUUCCUCCGCACUCCCACUCCUACGUCGCGUCCUCGGCGUGUCGCCGGCCUUCCUCGCCGACGGCCCGCUCUCCUCCCUCCUCCGCUCCAUGCCGCCGCCCCUCGCGCCACACCUGCACGCCCUCGCCUUCAAGCUCGCCCUCUCCUCGUCCCCCUACUCCGCCUCUUGCCUUAUUACUCUGUAUUUCCGAUUCCGGUCCCCCACGGCCGCCCGCCGCCUGUUCGAUGAAAUCCCCGUUCGAGAUCGGGACCCCGUCUGCUACUCUUCCACAAUCGUUGGGCUCGCGCAGAAUGGGCAAUACGAAGAAUCUCUCUCCGUGUUUGCUGGUAUGCGCUCAAAUGCUGUUGAUUCAACCAUGUACGCACUGUCCGGUGCUCUGCGGGCGGCAGCGGGGCUUGCUGCGCUGGAGCAGACUUGCGGGAUUCAUGCACAUGCGGUGGUGGUUGGGCUUGAUGGAAAUGUGGCUGUUGGGACUGCUCUGGUGGAUGCUUAUGGUAAGGCCGGAGUCAUGGACGAUGCAGUGAAGGUGUUUGAGGGGUUGGGGGAUGACCGAAACUUGAUCACCUGGAAUGCAGUGCUGUCUGCGCACGCUCAGCAGGGAGAUGUGCCAGCAGUUGUUGAGCUGUUUAACCGGAUGAUGGAACUGGGGUUUGCCCCUGAUGGGCUGUCGUUCCUUGCUAUUCUCACAGCAUGUAGUAAUGCUGGAGCAGAUGCUGAGGCUGAAUUUUGGUUGGAAGCAAUGCAGUCGAAGUACAAUGUGAAGCCUGGCAUUGAGCAUUAUACUUGUGUGGUGGGUGCAAUGGCACGGGUUGGACGUCUGGAGGAUGCAGAGAGUGUUGCUUGUAAAAUGCCAUGCAAGCCGGAUGCAGCAGUGUGGCGGACGCUUCUAAUGGGCUGUGUGGUUCACCGCAAGGUUGACAUGGCAGAAUCCAUGGGACGACGCCUUUUGGACAUUAAUCCCAAGGAUGACUCAACUUAUGUCAUGCUUGCCAAUGUCUACUCAGCAGCAGGGAAAAAAGAUGAGGAGGCUGCGUCAUGGACUGCAAUGAGGGACUGUGGAGUCAGGAAGGAAGGUGGUCGCAGUUGGAUUGAGGGUAGAGGGCAGGUACAUGUGUUUGUCGCGAAUGAAAAAAGGCACGAACAGCUACUAGAGAUAUAUGACAAGCUGAACGAAUUGAUCCAAGAGGUUGAGAAGUUAGGGUACAAGGAGGCAGGCGAGGGGUCCUGGCAUCAUAGUGAAAGGUUGGCCCUCGCAUAUGGGUUGAUAAGUGGUGCUGUACCAUCAGGAAAAGUGUUGAGAAUAGUUAAGAACUUGAGAAUAUGUGCUCAUUGUCAUGAAUUCUUCAAGUAUGCUAGCAUGGUGAUCGACAGAGUAAUUGUAGUAAGGGAUGUCAAUAGGUACCACACGAUUAAAAAAGGUGCUUGCAGCUGCAGAGACUACUGGUGACAUACUUAAUCCUGAGGAUAAACUAUGAUGGCAGAACCAUCUGUGUGGUUUUCCGGAUACAGCACGAUGAUAUAAUCGUGAACCCAGAAGAAAUUACUGUAGAGUUUAUUGGAAGCCUGCUUGUGUUGGCGUCCAACCAUAGUCCGUAGGACCAAUCGCUUUGUUACAUGAUUGAAAUUGAAAUUCUGAAGAGAACUGUGGUUUUAUGGUGUUGAUUAGACACCAUACCAUCUUGUGACUAAUGAAGCAUGAAUCAGGAUGACAGUGAUUAGGUGUCACUUUGGGAACCAUUUGUGCCUGCUAAUUAACAGUUUUGGGUCUCUCAGAUUUUCACUUGUUCUUGUCUUGGGGCUGGUAUGCUCAUCUCUUUCCAGCAACAUAAACUGCUGGGAGGAAUUACCUUUUCUCAGUUGCUCUGUAGCAUUUGAAUAUUUGAUGACUGUUGAAAGCAAUUAACUCCACAGCAGAACAUUUGUAGUAUGGCGGGAACAAGUGUAGUACAAAAAAUGCACUACUGAAACAUAGGUGGACUGUGGUGAUAAUUUUCAUGGAGACAUGGAGUAUGCCAUUUACGGACAAGUGGACUAUUAUUUAUGACUCGGAAAAUCGUCUCCAGAUGCAAAAAACUGCGAUCUGAUCUCAAGAAUGGCUCUGGAAGCUUUGUAUCUUAUGGGCCCUGAAGUCACUAUUCAUCCAAGCUGCAAAGGGAAACAAGGGUUUUUUUUAGGAGUAAAGGGAAACAAAACUGAGAAGGAACCUACAGAGACCAAGCACGAGGGCUCCAGCGCAAGAAACCCAGGGGUGGAAACGGAAGAAGAAAACAGAGCACCUGACGGUGUGGGGGGCGAGAGCGGAGCGGAGCUGCGGAGGCAAACCCACCCAGCACUCCAGCAGGCGAGCGAGGCGACGCCAGUUCACUCCCCUCCACCACCACUCCACCAGUCCACCACCACCACCGCGGCGGGAGGGAGACCAGAGAGCGGGGAGCGAGGGCGGCGAGACGACGCCCAGGCCCAGAGAUCCCGAGGACAGGCGGAACCUGAGAGAGAUGGGCAGGGCGCGCCGGUUUCUGCUGGCCGCCGCCGCCGCCGCCGUCUUCCUCCUCCUCCACGCGCCGCCGCUGGUGUCGUGCGCCGACCUCGACGCGCUCGUCUACAAGGGCUGCGCCAACCAGAGUUUCCCGG
This is an RNA transcript of Setaria italica (foxtail millet), 3349 nucleotides long. It is a transcript of the gene named cysteine-rich repeat secretory protein 11, with no coding region annotated. The transcript has 4 exons. Lineage: Eukaryota; Viridiplantae; Streptophyta; Magnoliopsida; Poales; Poaceae. The record is from RefSeq and is a predicted model, not a curated record.